GACGAACGCUGGCGGCGUGCCUAAUACAUGCAAGUAGAACGCACAGUUUAUACCGUAGCUUGCUACACCAUAGACUGUGAGUUGCGAACGUGUGAGUAACGCGUAGGUAACCUGCCUGGUAGCGGGGGAUAACUAUUGGAAACGAUAGCUAAUACCGCAUCAUAUUAAUUAUUGCAUGAUAAUUAAUUGAAAGGUGCAAUUGCACCACUACCAGCUGGACCUGCGUUGUAUUAGCUAGUAGGUGAGGUAACGGCUCACCUAGGCGAGGAUAAAUAGCAGACAGGAGAGGGGGAUCGGCGACGCGGGGACGGAGACUAGGCGCAGACCCCUAAGGGAGGCAGACGAAGGGGAGGUUCGGCAAUGGAGGAAAGGCCGACCGAGCAACGCCGCGUGAGUGAAGAAGGUUGUCGGAUGGUAAAGCUCGGUUGGAAGAGAAGAACGGGUGUGAGAGUGGAAAGGUAGCACUGUGACGGUAUCUGACCAGAAAGCGACGGCUAACUACGUG
RNAcentral lists this ribosomal RNA (505 nucleotides) under uncultured bacterium. Its description in RNAcentral is "partial 16S ribosomal RNA". It matches the Rfam family "Bacterial small subunit ribosomal RNA", at positions 28 to 507 of the family's 1533-position model. The record is from RNAcentral.